GAUGAACGCUAGCUACAGGCUUAACACAUGCAAGUCGAGGGGCAGCACAGUGUAGCAAUACAUGGGUGGCGACCGGCGCACGGGUGCGUAACGCGUAUCCAACCUUCCCGUUACUCUUGGAUAGCCUUCCGAAAGGGAGAUUAAUACAAGAUGGUAUUCAAAUUCCGCAUGUUAUUUGAAUUAAAGAUUUAUCGGUAACGGAUGGGGAUGCGUUCCAUUAGCUUGUUGGCGGGGUAACGGCCCACCAAGGCUUCGAUGGAUAGGGGUUCUGAGAGGAAGGUCCCCCACACUGGAACUGGGACACGGUCCAGACUCCUACGGGAGGCAGCAGUGAGGAAUAUUGGUCAAUGGGCGAGAGCCUGAACCAGCCAAGUAGCGUGAAGGAUGACUGCCCUACGGGUUGUAAACUUCUUUUGUUUGGGAAUAAAAGACGCUACGCGUAGCGUUCUGCAUGUACCUUACGAAUAAGCAUCGGCUAAUUCCGUG
Molecule: ribosomal RNA, 486 nt
Filed under: uncultured bacterium
Lineage: Bacteria
Description: bacterial SSU rRNA
Rfam family: Bacterial small subunit ribosomal RNA
Source: RNAcentral